UACGAAGGGAGCUAGCGUUACUCGGAAUUACUGGGCGUAAAGCGCGUGUAGGCGGUGCUGCAAGUCAGGGGUGAAAUCCCAGAGCUUAACUCUGGAAUUGCCUUUGAAACUGCGGUGCUUGAAUCAGGCAGAGGGUAGUGGAAUUCCACGUGUAGGAGUGAAAUCCGUAGAUAUGUGGGGGAACACCAGUGGCGAAGGCGGCUACCUGGGCCUCGAUUGACGCUGAGAUGAGAAAGCGUGGGGAGCAAACAGG
RNAcentral lists this ribosomal RNA (253 nucleotides) under uncultured bacterium. RNAcentral's name for it is "partial 16S ribosomal RNA". It matches the Rfam family "Bacterial small subunit ribosomal RNA", at positions 524 to 776 of the family's 1533-position model. The record is from RNAcentral.